GACGAACGCUGGCGGCGUGCCUAAUACAUGCAAGUCGAACGCACAGGUUAUACCGUAGCUUGCUACACCAUAGACGGUGAGUUGCGAACGAGUGAGUAACGCGUAGGUAACCUGCCUGGUAGCGUGGGAUAACUAUUGGUAACGAUAGCUAAUACCUCAUGAUAUUAAUUAUUGCAUGAUAAUUAAUUGAAAUGUGCAAUUGCAUCACUACCAGAUGGACCUGCGUUGUAUUAGUUAGUAGGUGAGGUAACGGCUCACCUAGGCGACGUUACAGAGCCGAACGGAGAGGGUGGUUGGCCACACUGGGACUGUGACAGGGCCCAGAGGCCUACAGGAAGGAGCAGUAGGGAAACUUGGGGAAUGGGCGAAAGGCUGACCGAACAACGCCGCGGGAGUGAAGAAGGAUUUCGGGUCCGAAAGCUCUGUUGUAAGGGAAGAAACGGUGUGAGAGUGGAAAGUUCACGCUGUGACGGUAUCUGAUCAGAAAGCGACGGCUAACUACGUG
This 505-nucleotide ribosomal RNA is filed under the name uncultured bacterium. RNAcentral describes it as "partial 16S ribosomal RNA". It matches the Rfam family "Bacterial small subunit ribosomal RNA", at positions 28 to 507 of the family's 1533-position model. The record is from RNAcentral.